AUCUGGGCGGCGGAAUUCAGGAUGGCGGGCGCGUCUUCGCGGCGCGUUCGUCGUUUGAUAUUUCCGUCGCCGACUCAACCCGCAGACGUCGCGACCUGUUCGCGGUCGGUCCUUGCUCGGAGGAGUCACGUUCGAGUUUGUUGCGUGCGCGUUUCUGCGCGUUACGCGGCAAAGGCGUGAAUCUCUGGCUGGCCGUCGGACAGUACGCUUAACGGUGUCCGGUGUCGUCGUCUCGUACGCGCGCGCACCGGUACCGGUCGGCGACGAAUUCUUCGGGCCUCUUUCCGACCCGUCUUGAAACACGGACCAAGGAGUCUAACAUGCGCGCGAGUCGCGGGGUGUCGAGCGCAUCACGGUGCGUUCGUUACGUUGCGAAACCCGUACAUGUUGAAGGCGUAAUGAAAGUAAAUGGGGAAGAUGGUGUUCCGAGUACACGUUCCGCGGUCAUUGGUACCGCGGCCGGACACCCGCAUUCCCGGGGCGUCUCAACGGCCCGUCGCGGAUGCGGGCAGUCGUCUCUCGGGGCGGCUGUCGGUCUGCGACGAACCGA
This 550-nucleotide ribosomal RNA is filed under the name Parlatoria camelliae. RNAcentral's name for it is "eukaryotic LSU rRNA". The record is from RNAcentral. Lineage: Eukaryota; Metazoa; Arthropoda; Insecta; Hemiptera; Diaspididae.